UCGUAGUGUGCACGUGAAUUGACACAGGUGACCGACAAUGGAAUGUACUAUGCUUUACUACGAACGUAAACAGGACUUGAAUGUUUCACUUGGGGCGAUGUGCAACAUCCUUCGCAGUGCAAUAUUACCAACGUGUGUGCCCACCAAGAACAGGUGUGUAUGACAGCCGAGAAUGUAAAUGAUAAUUUCCGGUUGUUUGGUAAAGGAGAAUUGUUUCGGGCAGAAGAAAAGGAAUUUAAAACAUUACUGUUGUUUCAACAAUUUAUGCAACAAACAUCAAAUAGAUAUGUUUACAUUACAGUCCGUAUUAUUAACUACAAUUUCAAAGUCUCAUACUCUUAAACCAGCCAUGAAACUGACAACCACGCAAAUUCCAACUAGUACAUUUAAAACAACUAUCAACCGUUCGCAUCAUGUUCAACACUUUCGAAUCCUUUCUUGAUUAUUAGAGUAAACGAUCUUGAUCUUCACUUCAGAAGUAAACCAUUUUGUUUUGCUGAAUACUAAAUAUUACUAUUAUUUAGGGAAACCAAUACAGAUAUUUUCUCUUUACAUAGCUUCAAGGUUUUGAAAUUGAUUUAUUCUAUUUCUUGAAAGAAACAGAAUUGUUUCAGAAGAGAAAGGUAUCCUACUAAGUUCUCAAAGAUGACAAUAAGGUGUCCAUUUAAUUUUUUCCUUGUUUUACAGACUGGCCCGUUGUAUUUAUAUACAAACAUAUAUAUUCAGAUUUCAAUUGAAUUUGUACUACUUAUUUUGCUGAUAUACUAAAGUAAUGGCGGCUGAUGGUUUGAUUACAAUUGCGAUCACCACCUACAUGCAUCUUUUUUUUCCAAAAGGAUCACACGUAACACAUAACUUUAAUCUGUUUCAAUUGUAUCCUCUACAAAUGUUUCCAAAUUGAAAUUUUGUCAACAUUACAUUUAUGUCAGUUUUUUCAACAAAGUCAAGAAUGUUUCAUUGGUAUAUCUUCCACAAAUUUCGUCUUUGUGCGUUACAGAGUUGUAUAAAUAAAUAACUGUGGACGUCAAAUACAGCAAAAAUUGUGUUGCCUUGAUUUGCCCAAUUUUGGAAGCAAUCGAUAGAAUUUUAUAGAAUUUUCAGAUAGUUUUGUUUGUUUAUUUGAUGUUUGUUUUAUUUUCUACUUUUGAUUGAAUACAAUACUUAUCACUA
Long non-coding RNA from Mytilus californianus (California mussel), 1170 nucleotides. RefSeq lists it as uncharacterized. The transcript is spliced from 4 exons. Lineage: Eukaryota; Metazoa; Mollusca; Bivalvia; Mytilida; Mytilidae. The record is from RefSeq and is a predicted model, not a curated record.